Molecule: small nuclear RNA, 103 nt
Filed under: Triticum dicoccoides
Lineage: Eukaryota; Viridiplantae; Streptophyta; Magnoliopsida; Poales; Poaceae
Source: RNAcentral
GUCCCUUCGGGGACAUCCGAUAAAAUUGGAACGAUAUAGAGAAGAUUAGCAUGGCCCCUGCGCAAGGAUGGCAUGCACAAAUCGAGAAAUGGUCCAAAUUUUU